RNAcentral lists this ribosomal RNA (815 nucleotides) under uncultured bacterium. RNAcentral's name for it is "bacterial SSU rRNA". It matches the Rfam family "Bacterial small subunit ribosomal RNA", at positions 8 to 838 of the family's 1533-position model. The record is from RNAcentral.
AGAGUUUGAUCCUGGCUCAGGACGAACGCUGGCGGCGUGCCUAACACAUGCAAGUCGAACGGGGCAAUUUCUUCGGAGGUUGCUUAGUGGCGAACGGGUGAGUAACGCGUGAGAAACCUGCCUUUCAGUGGGGGACAACAGUUGGAAACGACUGCUAAUACCGCAUAACACUUUAGAAUCGCAUGAUUCAGAAGUCAAAGCUUAAUGUGCUGAAAGAUGGUCUCGCGUCUGAUUAGCUAGUUGGUGAGGUAACGGCUCACCAAGGCGACGAUCAGUAGCCGGUCUGAGAGGAUGAACGGCCACAUUGGGACUGAGAUACGGCCCAGACUCCUACGGGAGGCAGCAGUGGGGAAUAUUGGGCAAUGGGGGAAACCCUGACCCAGCAACGCCGCGUGAAGGAAGAAGGCCUUCGGGUUGUAAACUUCUUUUACCAGGGACGAAGAACGUGACGGUACCUGGAGAAAAAGCAACGGCUAACUACGUGCCAGCAGCCGCGGUAAUACGUAGGUUGCAAGCGUUGUCCGGAUUUACUGGGUGUAAAGGGCGUGUAGGCGGAGAUGCAAGUUGGGAGUGAAAUCCCGGGGCUCAACCCCGGAACUGCUUUCAAAACUGCAUCCCUUGAGUAUCGGAGAGGCAAGCGGAAUUCCUAGUGUAGCGGUGAAAUGCGUAGAUAUUAGGAGGAACACCAGUGGCGAAGGCGGCUUGCUGGACGACAACUGACGCUGAGGCGCGAAAGCGUGGGGAGCAAACAGGAUUAGAUACCCUGGUAGUCCACGCUGUAAACGAUGAAUACUAGGGGUGGGAGGACUGACCCC